UACGUAGGUCCCGAGCGUUGUCCGGAUUUAUUGGGCGUAAAGCGAGCGCAGGUGGUUUAUUAAGUCUGGUGUGAAAGGCAGUGGCUCAACCAUUGUAUGCAUUGGAAACUGGUAGACUUGAGUGCAGGAGAGGAGAGUGGAAUUCCAUGUGUAGCGGUGAAAUGCGUAGAUAUAUGGAGGAACACCGGUGGCGAAAGCGGCUCUCUGGUCUGUAACUGACGCCGAGGUUCGAAAGCGUGGGUAGCAAACAGG
This 252-nucleotide ribosomal RNA is filed under the name uncultured bacterium. RNAcentral describes it as "partial 16S ribosomal RNA". It matches the Rfam family "Bacterial small subunit ribosomal RNA", at positions 524 to 776 of the family's 1533-position model. The record is from RNAcentral.